AUUGAACGCUGGCGGCAGGCCUAACACAUGCAAGUCGAGCGGAUGAAGGGAGCUUGCUCCUGUUUUCAGCGGCGGACGGGUGAGUAAUUCCUAGGAAUCUGCCUGGUAGUUGGGGAUAACGUCCGUACACGGCCCCUAAUCCCCCUCCGUCUCUGAGUUAGAACUGGGUGGUUCUUCGGCCCUCGCUUUUUUUGCUAUCACUAGGUCGUAUUAGCUAGUUGGUGGGGUAAGGGCGUACCAAGGCGACGAUCCGUAGCUGAUCUGAGAGGAUGAUCAGUCACACUGGAACUGAGACACGGUCCAGACUCCUACGGGAGGCAGCAGUGGGGAAUAUUGGACAAUGGGCGAAAGCCUGAUCCAGCAAUGCCGCGUGAGUGAAGAAGGUCUUCGGAUUGUAAAGCACUUUUAGUAGGGAGGAAGAGCAGUAAGAUAAUACCUUGCUGUUUUGACGGUACCAACAGAAUAAGCACCGGCUAACUACGUG
RNAcentral lists this ribosomal RNA (484 nucleotides) under uncultured bacterium. Its description in RNAcentral is "partial 16S ribosomal RNA". It matches the Rfam family "Bacterial small subunit ribosomal RNA", at positions 30 to 507 of the family's 1533-position model. The record is from RNAcentral.